UUGGCUUAGGCAUAUGAAGUUCAUUCCAUGUCUAAGCAUACAGAGUUCAUUCCCAGUCUAAGAUUUUGAGCCACGGUGCACAUGCUGGGCUAAGGCAUGUGCUGGUGCCGCAUUUUUUUUGCCCGGGGCACCAUCGUCGGAGCAUCGCCGGAGAGCCUAACCGACGGCAUUGGGGGUUCCGACGAUUGGGGGGGUUGGGGGGUGUGCGGACAUGAUGUGUGAUGGGUGCUGGUACUUGACCCUUAUAUUGGCCCCAUAUCCCUCAUCAAACCUUGAGAACUCACACCCCCUUAAAGAGCAUUUGAGAUUUUAUAGGUUUGCUGCCAGUAGCCAUUAAAGUGUCUGAAAUGGGGACACUUUUUUCAAACGGUCACAAAAUCUUCUCCAGUUUGAGUUUUUCGCUGAAUUUUUUUUUGCAUGCUAAAAAAAAUACAAGGAUCAUCUCUACCAAAUUUGGGGACAAAAAUCUUUCUAAAAAAUUUUUAAAAAAUCCCGAACCGCAAAAAGUUUCAAAAAUCAUGAAAAAUAAAAAACGGGUCAUCUUGCCACGAAACUUCACAUGAAGGCUUAGGGGACCAUUGUAUGAAUUUAAAAGCCAUACAAAUGGUAUUGGCAUGGUAGAAAUAUGAAGAUGUGCUUGGACACACCUACCAUCCGUUUGAUCCCCGACUUGUGCAUCUUGCCUCUCUGGUCGACUGAGGACUCGCAUGCUCGUUUCGUGGGUUGACCUAGGCAUACGGAGUUCAUCCCCAGUCUAAGCAUACAGAGUUCAUUCCUAGUCUAAGAUCAAACUGGGAUGAAGGUUGCGAUAGCAGGAUCGACAGCACGUAGGGGGGACUGGGCCAUCCCUGACUUGUACAUUCUGCCUCUCCAAUCGACAAAGCGCCCGCAUGCUCGUUUCGUGGGUUGGCUUAGGCAUACGGAGUUCAUUCCAUGUCUAAGCAUAUGGAGUUCAUUCCCAAUCUAAGAUUUUGAGCCUCGGUGUACAUGCUGGGCUCGGGCAUGUACUGGUGCCGUAUUUUUUUUGCUCGGGGCACCAUCGCCGGAGCAUCACUGGAGAGCCUAACCGACGGCAUUGGGGGUUCCGGAGAUUGGGGUGCCGGGGGGUGUGCACACAUGAUGUGCGAUGGGUGCUGGUACUUGGCCCUUAUAUUGGCCCCCUAUCCCUCAUCAAAUCUUGAGAACUCACACCCCCUUAAAGAGCAUUUGAGAUUUUAUAGCUUUGUUACCAGUAGCCAUUAAAGUGUUUGAAAUGGGGACUCUUUUUUCAAACGGUCACAAAAUCUUCUCCACUUUGACUUUUUAGCUGAAUUUUUUUAUGCAUGCCAACAGAAAUACAAGGAUCAUGAACCGAAAAAAGUUUUGAAAAUUGUGAAAAAUAGAAAACAGGUCAUCUUGCCACGAAACUUCACAUGAAGGCUUAGGGGACCAUUGUAUGAAUUUACAAGCCAUAAAAAUGGCAUUGGGACGGCAGAAAUAUGAAGAUGUGCUUGAACCCACCUACCACACGUUCGAUCUUAGGCUUGCGCAUCCUGUCUCUCUGGUCGACUGAGUGCCCGUACGCUCGUUUCAUGGGUUGACUUAGGCAUACGGAGUUCAUCCUCAGUCUAAGCAUAAGGAGUUCAUUCCCAGUCUAGGAUCGGAUCGGAUCGAUGGUUGCGGUAGCAGGAUCGGUAGCACGCAGGGGGGAUCGAGCCAAUUCCCGGCUUACGCAUUCUGCCUCUCCGAUCAGCUGAGUGCCUGUACGCCCGUUUCAUGGGUUGGCUUAGGCAUAUGGAGUUCAUUCCAUGUCUAAGCAUAUGGAGUUCAUUCCCAGUCUAAGAUUGGACCAGAUCGAGGGUUGCGAUAGUAGGACUAGUAGCAGGAUCGGUAGCAUGCAGGGGGGGAUCAGUCCGAUCCUCGGCUUGUGCAUUCUGCCUCUCCGACUGACUGAGCGCCUGCAAGCUCGUUUCGUGGGUUGGCUUAGCCAGACAGAGUUCAUUCCAUCUCUAAGCCCCAGCCGGACCGAGGGUUGUGGUAGCAGGACCGACAGCACGCAGAGAGGGAUCGGCCUGAUCCCCGGCUUACGUAUUAUGCCUCUCUGAUCGGCUGAAUGCCCGCACGCUCAUUUCGUGGGUUGACUUAGGCCCACAGAGUUCAUCCCCAGUCGAAGCAAACAGAGUUCAUUCCCAGUCUAAGAUCAAAUCAGAUCGAGGGUUAUGGUAGCAGGAUCGAUAGUACGUAGAAGGGAUCGGGCCGAUCCCCGACUUGCGCAUUUUGCCUCUCCAGCCAGCUGCGCCGCAUGCUCUUUCUUGUGGGUCCAUGCUAACCAACCCAACGCGGACCAAGGGUGUUGGCAGUGGGAUGCAGAAUGUAGAAGGGGAUUGGGUCGACCCCUUGCGCAUUAUGCUCUUCGGGCUCAGCGCCCACAACUCAUUUCGUGGCUUGACUUUUGCAUACGGAGUUCGUUCCCAGUCUAAGAUUGGACCAAACCAAGGGUUACAACAGCAGGAUCGACAGCAAGCAGGGGGGAUCAGGCUGAUCACCGGCUUGCGCAUUCUACCUCUUCGGCCGGCUGAGCCCCCGCACGCUUGUUUUGUGGGUUGGCUUAGGCAUACGGAGUUCAUUCCAUGUCUAAGCAUACGUAGUUCAUUCGAUUUUGAGCCACGGUGCACAUGCUUGGCUCCAGCAUGUGCUGGUGCCGCAUUUUUUUCACUCGGGACAGCAUCGCCGGAGCAUCGCCAGAGCAUCGCCGGAGUACCGUCGGAGAACCUGACCGGCGGCAUUGGGGUUCCGGCGAUUGGGAGGGGGGCCGGGGGGGUGUGCGCACAUGAUGUGCGAUGGGUGCUGGUACUUGGCCCUUGUAUUGGCCCCCUAUCCCUCAUCAAACCUCUGAGAACUCACACCCCCUUAAAGAGCAUUUGAGAUUUUACAGGUUUGCUGCCAGUAGCCGUUCAAGUGUCUGAAAUGGGGACACUUUUUUCAAACGGUCACGAAAUCUUCUCCGGUUCGAGUUUUUAGCUGAAUUUUUUUGUGCAUGCCAACAAAAAUAGAAGGAUCACGUCCACAAAAUUUGGGGCCAAAACUCCUUCUAAAAAAAUUCUAAAAAAUCCCGAACCGCAAAAAGUUUCGAAAAUCGUGAAAAAUAGAAAACGAGUCAUCUUCCAACGAAACUUCACGUGAAGGCUUAGGGGACCAUUGUAUGAAUUUACAAGCCAUAAAAAUGGCAUUGGCACGGCAGAAAUUUGAAGAUGUGCCUAAACCCACCUAGCACCCGAUCGAUCCCCGGCUUGCGCAUCCUGCCUCUCCGGCCGGCUGAGCGCCCGCACGCUCGUUCCGUGGGUUGACUUAGCCAUACGGAGUUCAUUCCAUGUCUAAGCCCCAGUCGGACCGAGGGUCGCGGCAGCUGGACCGGCAGCGGGAUUGGCAGCAGCACGCGGGGGGACCGGGCCGAUCCCCGGCUUGCGCAUUAUGCCCCUCCAGUCGACUGAGCGCCCGCACGCUCGUUUCGUGGGUUGACUUAGGCAUACGGAGUUCAUUCCCGAUCUAAGCAUACGGAGCUCAUUCUCGGUCUAAGAUCGGACCGACAGCGGGAUUGGCAGCAGCACGCGGGGGGGACCGGAUCGGUCUCCGGCUUGCGCAUUAUGCCCCUCCGGCCGGCUGAGCGCCCGCACGCUCGUUCCGUUGGUUGACUUAGGCACACGGAGUUCAUUCCAUGUCUAAG
This 3703-nucleotide long non-coding RNA is filed under the name Durio zibethinus. Its description in RNAcentral is "long non-coding RNA (DZIB_LNC000047)". The record is from RNAcentral. Lineage: Eukaryota; Viridiplantae; Streptophyta; Magnoliopsida; Malvales; Malvaceae.